This 76-nucleotide transfer RNA is filed under the name Chloroflexi bacterium RBG_16_60_22. Its description in RNAcentral is "tRNA-Ala". It matches the Rfam family "tRNA". From Rfam's summary of the family: Transfer RNA (tRNA) molecules are approximately 80 nucleotides in length. The record is from RNAcentral. Lineage: Bacteria; Bacillati; Chloroflexota. RNAcentral also lists the same sequence under 2 other names.
GGGGCCGUAGUUCAGUUGGGAGAACGCCUGCUUUGCAAGCAGGAGGUAGGGGGUUCGAACCCCCCCGGCUCCACCA